Molecule: ribosomal RNA, 793 nt
Filed under: Firmicutes bacterium OR-167
Lineage: Bacteria; Bacillati; Bacillota
Description: bacterial SSU rRNA
Rfam family: Bacterial small subunit ribosomal RNA
Source: RNAcentral
UGACGGAGCAACGCCGCNUGAGCGAUGAAGGCCUUCGGGUCGUAAAGCUCUGUUGUCAGGGAAGAACAAGUAUCGGAGUAACUGCCGGUACCUUGACGGUACCUGACCAGAAAGCCACGGCUAACUACGUGCCAGCAGCCGCGGUAAUACGUAGGUGGCAAGCGUUGUCCGGAAUUAUUGGGCGUAAAGCGCGCGCAGGCGGUUCCUUAAGUCUGAUGUGAAAGCCCCCGGCUCAACCGGGGAGGGUCAUUGGAAACUGGGGAACUUGAGUGCAGAAGAGGAGAGCGGAAUUCCACGUGUAGCGGUGAAAUGCGUAGAGAUGUGGAGGAACACCAGUGGCGAAGGCGGCUCUCUGGUCUGUAACUGACGCUGAGGCGCGAAAGCGUGGGGAGCGAACAGGAUUAGAUACCCUGGUAGUCCACGCCGUAAACGAUGAGUGCUAAGUGUUAGAGGGUUUCCGCCCUUUAGUGCUGCAGCAAACGCAUUAAGCACUCCGCCUGGGGAGUACGGCCGCAAGGCUGAAACUCAAAGGAAUUGACGGGGGCCCGCACAAGCGGUGGAGCAUGUGGUUUAAUUCGAAGCAACGCGAAGAACCUUACCAGGUCUUGACAUCCUCUGACAACCCUAGAGAUAGGGCGUUCCCCUUCGGGGGACAGAGUGACAGGUGGUGCAUGGUUGUCGUCAGCUCGUGUCGUGAGAUGUUGGGUUAAGUCCCGCAACGAGCGCAACCCUUGAUCUUAGUUGCCAGCAUUAAGUUGGGCACUCUAAGGUGACUGCCGGUGACAAACCGGAG